GACGAACGCUGGCGGCGUGCUUAACACAUGCAAGUCGAACGGUAAGGCCUUUCGGGGUACACGAGUGGCGAACGGGUGAGUAACACGUGGGUGAUCUGCCCUGCACUUCGGGAUAAGCCCGGGAAACUGGGUCUAAUACCGGAUAGGACUGCGCGGUGCAUGCCGUGUGGUGGAAAGAUUUAUCGGUGCAGGAUGGGCCCGCGGCCUAUCAGCUUGUUGGUGGGGUAAUGGCCUACCAAGGCGACGACGGGUAGCCGGCCUGAGAGGGCGACCGGCCACACUGGGACUGAGACACGGCCCAGACUCCUACGGGAGGCAGCAGUGGGGAAUAUUGCACAAUGGGCGCAAGCCUGAUGCAGCGACGCCGCGUGAGGGAUGACGGCCUUCGGGUUGUAAACCUCUUUCAGCAGGGACGAAGCGUGAGUGACAGUACCUGCAGAAGAAGCACCGGCCAACUACGUG
This 462-nucleotide ribosomal RNA is filed under the name uncultured bacterium. Its description in RNAcentral is "partial 16S ribosomal RNA". It matches the Rfam family "Bacterial small subunit ribosomal RNA", at positions 28 to 507 of the family's 1533-position model. The record is from RNAcentral.